CUUGCUACUUUGCUGACGAGCGGCGGACGGGUGAGUAAUGCUUGGGAAUAUGCCUUUUGGUGGGGGACAACAGUUGGAAACGACUGCUAAUACCGCAUAAUGUCUACGGACCAAAGUGGGGGACCUUCGGGCCUCACGCCAAAAGAUUAGCCCAAGUGGGAUUAGCUAGUUGGUAAGGUAAUGGCUUACCAAGGCAACGAUCCCUAGCUGGUUUGAGAGGAUGAUCAGCCACACUGGGACUGANACACGGCCCANACUCCUACGGGAGGCAGCAGUGGGGAAUAUUGCACAAUGAGGCGCAAGCCUGAUGCAGCCAUGCCGCGUGUGUGAAGAAGGCCUUCGGGUUGUAAAGCACUUUCAGUAAGGAGGAAAGGGUAGUCUUUAAUAGAGGCUAUCUGUGACGUUACUUACAGAAGAAGCACCGGCUAACUCCGUGCCAGCAGCCGCGGUAAUACGGAGGGUGCGAGCGUUAAUCGGAAUUACUGGGCGUAAAGCGUACGCAGGCGGUUUGUUAAGCGAGAUGUGAAAGCCCCGGGCUCAACCUGGGAACUGCAUUUCGAACUGGCAAACUAGAGUGUGA
Molecule: ribosomal RNA, 580 nt
Filed under: marine bacterium SIMO-4422
Lineage: Bacteria
Description: bacterial SSU rRNA
Rfam family: Bacterial small subunit ribosomal RNA
Source: RNAcentral